RNAcentral lists this ribosomal RNA (824 nucleotides) under uncultured bacterium. RNAcentral describes it as "bacterial SSU rRNA". It matches the Rfam family "Bacterial small subunit ribosomal RNA", at positions 8 to 796 of the family's 1533-position model. The record is from RNAcentral.
AGAGUUUGAUCCUGGCUCAGAACGAACGCUGGCGGCGUGGCUAAGACAUGCAAGUCGUACGAUACGUUGUAGCAAUAUGGCGUAUAGUGGCGGACGGGUGAGUAAUGAAUAGGUAACGUACCCCGGGCACAGGAAUAGCGUCGGAGCGAAAGCUCCUUUGCGAAAGUGACGGUAAUACCUGGUGAAGUCAUUGAGGGGCAUCUCUUGAUGACCAUAGGGUGGGGACCUUCGGGCCUAUCGGCCUGGGAGCGGCCUAUUUCCUAUCAGCUAGUUGGUGAGGUAACGGCUCACCAAGGCAACGACGGGUAACCGGACUGAGAGGUUGGCCGGUCACAUCGGGACUGAGACACUGCCCGGACAUCUACGGAUGGCUGCAGUAACGAAUAUUCCGCAAUGGGCGCAAGCCUGACGGAGCGACGCCGCGUGGAGGACGAAUUCCUUCGGGAUGUAAACUCCUUUUAGGGAUCUGAAAACAAGGCGCACUAAUACUGCGCCGCGUUGAUCUAUCCCAGAAAAAGCCUCGGCUAAACCCGUGCCAGCAGCCGCGGUAAUUCGGGUGAGGCAAGCGUUGUUCGGAAUCACUGGGCUUAAAGCGCGUGUAGGCGGCUCGGUAAGUACCUUGUGAAAUCCCUUCUCUCAAUGAAGGAACUGCUGGGUAUACUGCCAAGCUAGAGGCAGGUAGGGGUCACUGGAACUCUAGGUGGAGCGGUGAAAUGCGUAGAUAUCUAGAGGAACGCCCGUGGCGAAAGCGGGUGACUGGGCCUGUCCUGACGCUGAGACGCGAAAGCGUGGGUAGCAAACGGGAUUAGAUACCCUGGUAGUCC